GUGAGUAACACGUGGAUAACCUACCUAUAAGACUGGGAUAACUUCGGGAAACCGGAGCUAAUACCGGAUAAUAUUUUGAACCGCAUGGUUCAAAAGUGAAAGACGGUCUUGCUGUCACUUAUAGAUGGAUCCGCGCUGCAUUAGCUAGUUGGUAAGGUAACGGCUUACCAAGGCAACGAUGCAUAGCCGACCUGAGAGGGUGAUCGGCCACACUGGAACUGAGACACGGUCCAGACUCCUACGGGAGGCAGCAGUAGGGAAUCUUCCGCAAUGGGCGAAAGCCUGACGGAGCAACGCCGCGUGAGUGAUGAAGGUCUUCGGAUCGUAAAACUCUGUUAUUAGGGAAGAACAUAUGUGUAAGUAACUGUGCACAUCUUGACGGUACCUAAUCAGAAAGCCACGGCUAACUACGUGCCAGCAGCCGCGGUAAUACGUAGGUGGCAAGCGUUAUCCGGAAUUAUUGGGCGUAAAGCGCGCGUAGGCGGUUUUUUAAGUCUGAUGUGAAAGCCCACGGCUCAACCGUGGAGGGUCAUUGGAAACUGGAAAACUUGAGUGCAGAAGAGGAAAGUGGAAUUCCAUGUGUAGCGGUGAAAUGCGCAGAGAUAUGGAGGAACACCAGUGGCGAAGGCGACUUUCUGGUCUGUAACUGACGCUGAUGUGCGAAAGCGUGGGGAUCAAACAGGAUUAGAUACCCUGGUAGUCCACGCCGUAAACGAUGAGUGCUAAGUGUUAGGGGGUUUCCGCCCCUUAGUGCUGCAGCUAACGCAUUAAGCACUCCGCCUGGGGAGUACGACCGCAAGGUUGAAACUCAAAGGAAUUGACGGGGACCCGCACAAGCGGUGGAGCAUGUGGUUUAAUUCGAAGCAACGCGAAGAACCUUACCAAAUCUUGACAUCCU
This 898-nucleotide ribosomal RNA is filed under the name Staphylococcus aureus. Its description in RNAcentral is "bacterial SSU rRNA". It matches the Rfam family "Bacterial small subunit ribosomal RNA", at positions 106 to 990 of the family's 1533-position model. Lineage: Bacteria; Bacillati; Bacillota; Bacilli; Caryophanales; Staphylococcaceae. The record is from RNAcentral.